RNAcentral lists this ribosomal RNA (494 nucleotides) under uncultured bacterium. Its description in RNAcentral is "partial 16S ribosomal RNA". It matches the Rfam family "Bacterial small subunit ribosomal RNA", at positions 28 to 507 of the family's 1533-position model. The record is from RNAcentral.
GACGAACGCUGGCGGCGUGCUUAACACAUGCAAGUCGAACGGUGAAGCGCCUUCCUUUUUGGUGGGUGUGGAUGAGUGGCGAACGGGUGAGUAACACGUGAGUAACCUGCCCCCUUCUUCUGGAUAACCGCAUGAAAGUGUGGCUAAUACGGGAUAUUCUGGGUCUGUCGCAUGAUGGGUCUGGGAAAGAUAUUGUUUCGGUGGGGGAUGGGCUCGCGGCCUAUCAGCUUGUUGGUGGGGUGAUGGCCUACCAAGGCGGUGACGGGUAGCCGGCCUGAGAGGGUGGACGGUCACACUGGGACUGAGACACGGCCCAGACUCCUACGGGAGGCAGCAGUGGGGAAUAUUGCACAAUGGGCGCAAGCCUGAUGCAGCGACGCCGCGUGAGGGAUGGAGGCCUUCGGGUUGUGAACCCCUUUCGCCAGUGAAGCAGGCCUGCCUCGUUUGUGGGUGGGUUGACAGUAGCUGGAUAAGAAGCGCCGGCUAACUACGUG